Molecule: ribosomal RNA, 371 nt
Filed under: uncultured bacterium
Lineage: Bacteria
Description: bacterial SSU rRNA
Rfam family: Bacterial small subunit ribosomal RNA
Source: RNAcentral
GUAGGGUGCGAGCGUUAAUCGGAAUUACUGGGCGUAAAGCGUGCGCAGGCGGUUUUGUAAGACAGAUGUAAAAUCCCCGGGCUUAACCUGGGAACUGCAUUUGUAACUGCAAGGCUAGAGUACGGCAGAGGGGGGUAGAAUUCCACGUGUAGCAGUGAAAUGCGUAGAUAUGUGGAGGAGUACCGAUGGCGAAGGCAGCCCCCUGGGUCGAUACUGACGCUCAUGCACGAAAGCGUGGGGAGCAAACAGGAUUAGAUACCCUGGUAGUCCACGCCCUAAACGAUGUCAACUAGGUGUUGGGGGAGGAGACUCUCUUAGUACCGCAGCUAACGCGUGAAGUUGACCGCCUGGGGAGUACGGCCGCAAGGUUG